RNAcentral lists this ribosomal RNA (253 nucleotides) under uncultured bacterium. Its description in RNAcentral is "partial 16S ribosomal RNA". It matches the Rfam family "Bacterial small subunit ribosomal RNA", at positions 524 to 776 of the family's 1533-position model. The record is from RNAcentral.
UACGGAGGGUGCGAGCGUUAAUCGGAAUUACUGGGCGUAAAGCGCGCGUAGGCGGUUUGUUAAGUCGGAUGUGAAAGCCCCGGGCUCAACCUGGGAACUGCACCCGAUACUGGCCGACUUGAGUGCGAGAGAGGGAGGUAGAAUUCCAUGUGUAGCGGUGAAAUGCGUAGAUAUAUGGAGGAAUACCGGUGGCGAAGGCGGCCUCCAGGCUCGACACUGACGCUGAGGUGCGAAAGCGUGGGUAGCAAACAGG